GGGUCGGUGGUGCAGCGGCAGCACGUCGGUUUCCAAGUCCGAAGACGGGGGUUCGAUCCCUCCCCGACCUGCCA
This 74-nucleotide transfer RNA is filed under the name Myxococcales bacterium. RNAcentral's name for it is "tRNA-Trp". It matches the Rfam family "tRNA". Rfam says of the family: Transfer RNA (tRNA) molecules are approximately 80 nucleotides in length. Their secondary structure includes four short double-helical elements and three loops (D, anti-codon, and T loops). The record is from RNAcentral. Lineage: Bacteria; Pseudomonadati; Myxococcota; Myxococcia; Myxococcales.